AGUGAACGCUGGCGGUAGGCCUAACACAUGCAAGUCGAACGGCAGCACAGUAAGAGCUUGCUCUUACGGGUGGCGAGUGGCGGACGGGUGAGGAAUACAUCGGAAUCUACUUUUUCGUGGGGGAUAACGGAGGGAAACUUACGCUAAUACCGCAUACGACCUACGGGAGAAAUCAGGGGAUCUUCGGACCUUUCGCGAUUGAAUGAGCCGAUGUCGGAUUAGCUAGUUGGCGGGGUAAGGGCCCACCAAGGCGACGAUCCGUAGCUGGUCUGAGAGGAUGAUCAGCCACACUGGAACUGAGACACGGUCCAGACUCCUACGGGAGGCAGCAGUGGGGAAUAUUGGACAAUGGGCGCAAGCCUGAUCCAGCCAUACCGCGUGGGUGAAGAAGGCCUUCGGGUUGUAAAGCCCUUUUAUUGGGAAAGAAAAGCAGCAGGUUAAUACCCCGCUGUUCUGACGGUACCCAAAGAAUAAGCACCGGCUAACUUCGUG
Molecule: ribosomal RNA, 492 nt
Filed under: uncultured bacterium
Lineage: Bacteria
Description: partial 16S ribosomal RNA
Rfam family: Bacterial small subunit ribosomal RNA
Source: RNAcentral